ACUUGUACUGUGAAACUGCGAAUGGCUCAUUAAAUCAGUUAUCGUUUAUUUGAUAGUACCUUACUACAUGGAUACCUGUGGUAAUUCUAGAGCUAAUACAUGCUAAAAACCCCGACUUCAGGAAGGGGUGUAUUUAUUAGAUAAAAAACCAACGCCCUUCGGGGCUCCUUGGUGAAUCAUAAUAACUUAACGAAUCGCAUGGCCUUGCGCCGGCGAUGGUUCAUUCAAAUUUCUGCCCUAUCAACUUUCGAUGGUAGGAUAGUGGCCUACCAUGGUGGCAACGGGUAACGGGGAAUUAGGGUUCGAUUCCGGAGAGGGAGCCUGAGAAACGGCUACCACAUCCAAGGAAGGCAGCAGGCGCGCAAAUUACCCAAUCCCGAUACGGGGAGGUAGUGACAAUAAAUACUGAUACGGGGCUCUUUUGGGUCUCGUAAUUGGAAUGAGAACAAUUUAAAUCCCUUAACGAGGAACAAUUGGAGGGCAAGUCUGGUGCCAGCAGCCGCGGUAAUUCCAGCUCCAAUAGCGUAUAUUAAAGUUGUUGCAGUUAAAAAGCUCGUAGUUGAACCUUGGGUCUGGCUGGCCGGUCCGCCUCACCGCGAGUACUGGUCCGGCUGGACCUUUCCUUCUGGGGAACCUCAUGGCCUUCACUGGCUGUGGGGGGAACCAGGACUUUUACUGUGAAAAAAUUAGAGUGUUCAAAGCAGGCCUUUGCUCGAAUACAUUAGCAUGGAAUAAUAGAAUAGGACGUGUGGUUCUAUUUUGUUGGUUUCUAGGACCGCCGUAAUGAUUAAUAGGGAUAGUCGGGGGCGUCAGUAUUCAGCUGUCAGAGGUGAAAUUCUUGGAUUUGCUGAAGACUAACUACUGCGAAAGCAUUCGCCAAGGAUGUUUUCAUUAAUCAGGGAACGAAAGUUAGGGGAUCGAAGACGAUCAGAUACCGUCGUAGUCUUAACCAUAAACUAUGCCGACUAGGGAUCGGACGGGAUUCUAUGAUGACCCGUUCGGCACCUUACGAGAAAUCAAAGUUU
RNAcentral lists this ribosomal RNA (1025 nucleotides) under Penicillium spinulosum. Its description in RNAcentral is "SSU rRNA". It matches the Rfam family "Eukaryotic small subunit ribosomal RNA", at positions 72 to 1106 of the family's 1831-position model. Lineage: Eukaryota; Fungi; Ascomycota; Eurotiomycetes; Eurotiales; Aspergillaceae. The record is from RNAcentral.